RNAcentral lists this long non-coding RNA (1043 nucleotides) under Homo sapiens (human). RNAcentral's name for it is "HSALNT0198532". Lineage: Eukaryota; Metazoa; Chordata; Mammalia; Primates; Hominidae. The record is from RNAcentral.
GGAAAAUGAGAUUGUCCUAUUUAUUCCUCUGAAUAUUCCCCAGCAUCUAUCACAGUGCUCUUUAUAAAGUCAGCCCUCACGGAACCCUAAAAGCUGGCUAAGGGGCCAUUCUCCUCGCCACCUGGGCCUGCGUCUGCCGAAUCGCUUCCUAAGGACUUUGACUAGAAACCAAAGGUCCCAUUUUUCAUCUGCCAUUUAUUUAUCAUUGCAUAACUUAGGGGAAACACAUGGUGCCCAGAAGGGCUUAAUUAGUAGCAGCUGUGCGGGGUGAUGCACAGAGUGCCCCAAGGGUGUCCUGAGUGAGGGUGGAUGUCCCCUGCCCUCUGGCUUCGUGAAGGCUUCGUGAAGCCUGCCGGGUCACCCUUGUUUUCAUGGAUAGCUUCUUUAGGACACUCUCUCCACCAGUAAUUGACAAAGUCUGCUUCUGUUGAGUGUCUGAUAAAGGAUUGAGUUUACAUGAUUGUUAAGAUAGGAUCAUGAAAGAAGACAGAAGACGGAUGUGAGUGGCCCUCAGAAAAAAAGCAUCAAAGGAAACUGAGGAGUCUGUGUUCCGAGUUAUAACAUCAGUCCUGUGUGUUCUCGCAUUCUUGCUCUUAAUCCUCCCUUGGCGACCUUCUACUCAGACAUCAUCUUUUAUGCAGAGAAGCAGGCACGUUUCUCAUCAUUAAUUCUGUUCUCAGCCAGGUGUGUAGCCACAGAGCAUACAGACCACAGGAUGAUGGAAAGCAUAUUGACUUUCCUGACUUCUUAUGACCACAUUUGAGGAAAGGAGUAAGCACUGGAAUCACCAACACAGCAUGCUUACGGAGGGUGGUCACCAGCUUCAUCAGCCUCCCAAUUCCACGGAGCCCCUUGAAAAUCCAGGAGCGCAGACUGGCAACAGUAGAGAUUUAAUAGGCACUGUUUUAUAGGGGAACUCGAGAAGCAGUCAGGAAGGAAGGUCUCGGCUAUUGCUGAGCUGAAGAGUAGUUUACUGGAGGUUAUACUCCAGUCAAAGAAGAUGGAAACCAAGAAAGGACACAUUUUGGAGAUUAGCACUGGCU